GUUUGAUCCUGGCUCAGAACGAACGCUGGCGGCGUGCCUAACACAUGCAAGUCCAACGUGAAAGGGGAGCAAUCCCCCGGUAGGGUGGCAAACGGGUGAGUAAUACAUGGGUGAUCUACCUUAGGGAUGGGGAUAUCCUUCCGAAAGGAGGGGCAAUACCGAAUAUUGUCCGGAGCCGUGAAGGGUUCCGGGGAAAGGGAGGCCUCUGAUACAAGCUUUCGCCUUAAGAUGAGCCCAUGGCCCAUCAGCUAGUGGUAGGUAAAGCCUACCAAGGCUACGACGGGUCGCUGGUCUGAGAGGACGACCAGCCACACUGGCACUGAGAUACGGGCCAGACUCCUACGGGAGGCAGCAGUGAGGAAUAUUGCGCAAUGGGGGAAACCCUGACGCAGCAACGCCGCGUGUGGGAAGAAGG
RNAcentral lists this ribosomal RNA (415 nucleotides) under uncultured bacterium. RNAcentral describes it as "bacterial SSU rRNA". It matches the Rfam family "Bacterial small subunit ribosomal RNA", at positions 11 to 414 of the family's 1533-position model. The record is from RNAcentral.